Vicia villosa (hairy vetch) is the source of this 487-nucleotide long non-coding RNA. RefSeq lists it as uncharacterized. The transcript has 3 exons. NCBI's taxonomy places the organism in Eukaryota, Viridiplantae, Streptophyta, Magnoliopsida, Fabales, Fabaceae. The record is from RefSeq and is a predicted model, not a curated record.
GUUACGUUUUUGUGCCUCUUGAGCUUCUUUGACCGAGUCCUCUUCCUCAUGUGAACUCGCGGCGGCGCCGGAGUAAAACUCAUCUCCGAUUCAAGGACCGGCGCUCUUCUCUCUCGCUCAACCCUCUCACGUUCAACCUUUCUCCGAUUCCAUCAAAGUAUCGCCUACCGGAGCCGAUCACUCCGGCGGUGGAUGCGACGGCAAUUCGAAAAGGCCAAAGAACUGAGAAGCUUGAAUCGAUUGUAGAAGAUGAUGAUGAUUGAUGAACUUGCAGAAGAUUGAUUCGAUGAAGGCGAUUUGGUGCCGAUGAUGAUUGAACGGAGUCUUUAAUGAUUGCUGAGUUGAAUUAGUGAAUAUGCGUUGAAGAAGGAGUUACGGCGAUUGACGAUAGUGAAACGUGGAGGAGCAGAUCGAGAAGAUGAUGAAGUUUUGGAGAGGUGAAUCAAUGAAGAUGAUGAAGAGAGGUUGAAGAUUGGUGAAGUUGAUG